GUGGGGAAUCUUGCACAAUGGGGGCAACCCUGAUGCAGCGACGCCGCGUGAGCGAUGAAGCCCUUCGGGGUGUAAAGCUCUUUCGACGGGAACGAUAAUGACGGUACCCGGAGAAGAAGCUGCGGCUAACUACGUGCCAGCAGCCGCGGUAAUACGUAGGCAGCAAGCGUUGUUCGGAGUUACUGGGCGUAAAGAGUGCGUAGGCGGUCCUGUAAGUUUGGUGUGAAAUCUCCCGGCUCAACUGGGAGGGUGCGCCGAAGACUGCAGGGCUUGAGUAUGGGAGAGGUAAGCGGAAUUCCUGGUGUAGCGGUGAAAUGCGUAGAUAUCAGGAGGAACACCUGUGGUGUAGACAGCUUACUGGACCAUAACUGACGCUGAGGCACGAAAGCGUGGGUAGCAAACAGGAUUAGAUACCCGAGUAGUCC
RNAcentral lists this ribosomal RNA (425 nucleotides) under uncultured bacterium. RNAcentral describes it as "bacterial SSU rRNA". It matches the Rfam family "Bacterial small subunit ribosomal RNA", at positions 354 to 796 of the family's 1533-position model. The record is from RNAcentral.